Molecule: transfer RNA, 74 nt
Filed under: Medicago truncatula (barrel medic)
Lineage: Eukaryota; Viridiplantae; Streptophyta; Magnoliopsida; Fabales; Fabaceae
Also listed under: 2 other names
Description: tRNA-Met (CAT) (tRNA-Met-CAT-2-1)
Rfam family: tRNA
About the family: Transfer RNA (tRNA) molecules are approximately 80 nucleotides in length. Their secondary structure includes four short double-helical elements and three loops (D, anti-codon, and T loops). Further hydrogen bonds mediate the characteristic L-shaped molecular structure. tRNAs have two regions of fundamental functional importance: the anti-codon, which is responsible for specific mRNA codon recognition, and the 3' end, to which the tRNAs corresponding amino acid is attached (by aminoacyl-tRNA synthetases). tRNAs cope with the degeneracy of the genetic code in two manners: having more than one tRNA (with a specific anti-codon) for a particular amino acid; and 'wobble' base-pairing, i.e. permitting non-standard base-pairing at the 3rd anti-codon position.
Source: RNAcentral
GGGGUGAUGGCGCAGUUGGCUAGCGCGUAGGUCUCAUAAUCCUGAGGUCGAGAGUUCGAGCCUCUCUCACCCCA